Molecule: ribosomal RNA, 469 nt
Filed under: uncultured Methanomicrobiales archaeon
Lineage: Archaea; Methanobacteriati; Methanobacteriota; Methanomicrobia; Methanomicrobiales
Description: bacterial SSU rRNA
Rfam family: Archaeal small subunit ribosomal RNA
Source: RNAcentral
CGGGGAGCACCACAACAGGUGGAGCCUGCGGUUUAAUCGGACUCAACGCCGGGAAACUCACCAGAUAAGACAGCUGAAUGAUAGUCGGGCUGAAGACUCUACUUGACUAGCUGAGAGGAGGUGCAUGGCCGUCGUCAGUUCGUACUGUGAAGCAUCCUGUUAAGUCAGGCAACGAGCGAGACCCACGCCAACAGUUGCCAGCUCGUCCUCCGGGAUGGUGGGGACACUGUUGGGACCGCCUCUGCUAAAGAGGAGGAAGGAAUGGGCAACGGUAGGUCAGCAUGCCCCGAAUUAUCUGGGCUACACGCGGGCUACAAUGGGUGGGACAAUGGGUAUCGACACCGAAAGGUGAAGGCAAUCUCCUAAACCCAUCCGUAGUUCGGAUUGUGGGCUGCAACUCGCCCACAUGGAGCUGGAAUCUGUAGUAAUCGUGUCUCAAAAUGGCACGGUGAAUAUGUCCCUGCUCCUU